RNAcentral lists this unclassified non-coding RNA (224 nucleotides) under uncultured fungus. RNAcentral describes it as "sequence contains ITS1, 5.8S rRNA gene". The stretch from base 176 to 224 matches the Rfam family "5.8S ribosomal RNA", at positions 1 to 49 of the family's 154-position model. The record is from RNAcentral. Lineage: Eukaryota; Fungi.
UCUCCGUUGGUGAACCUGCGGAGGGAUCAUUACUGAGUGAGGGCUUCGGUCCGACCUCCAACCCUUUGUGAACCAAACUUGUUGCUUCGGGGGCGACCCUGCCGUUCGGCGCGGCGCCCCCGGAGGCUCAUCAAACACUGCAUCUCUGCGUCGGAGUAUUAGUAAAUCUAAUCAAAACUUUCAGCAACGGAUCUCUUGGUUCCGGCGUCGAUGAAGAACGCAGC